This 253-nucleotide ribosomal RNA is filed under the name uncultured bacterium. RNAcentral's name for it is "partial 16S ribosomal RNA". It matches the Rfam family "Bacterial small subunit ribosomal RNA", at positions 524 to 776 of the family's 1533-position model. The record is from RNAcentral.
UACGUAGGGGGCAAGCGUUGUCCGGAAUUAUUGGGCGUAAAGAGCGCGCAGGCGGUCGUUCAAGUCGCGUGUGAAAGCCCCCGGCUCAACUGGGGAGGGUCACGCGAUACUGAUCGACUGGAAGGCAGGAGAGGGUAGUGGAAUUCCCGGUGUAGUGGUGAAAUGCGUAGAUAUCCGGAGGAACACCGGUGGCGAAGGCGGCUUCCUGGACCGACACUGACGCUGAGGCGCGAAAGCUAGGGGAGCAAACGGG